UACGUAGGGGGCAAGCGUUGUUCGGAAUUACUGGGCGUAAAGGGCUCGUAGGCGGCCAACUAAGUCAGACGUGAAAUCCCUAGGCUCAACCUAGGAACUGCGUCUGAUACUGGAUGGCUUGAAUCCGGGAGAGGGAUGCAGAAUUCCAGGUGUAGCGGUGAAAUGCGUAGAUAUCUGGAGGAAUACCGGUGGCGAAGGCGGCAUCCUGGACCGGCAUUGACGCUGAGGAGCGAAAGCCAGGGGAGCAAACGGG
Molecule: ribosomal RNA, 253 nt
Filed under: uncultured bacterium
Lineage: Bacteria
Description: partial 16S ribosomal RNA
Rfam family: Bacterial small subunit ribosomal RNA
Source: RNAcentral